RNAcentral lists this ribosomal RNA (143 nucleotides) under Candidatus Moraniibacteriota bacterium. The record is from RNAcentral. Lineage: Bacteria; Candidatus Moraniibacteriota.
GCUGGUGCCUCGAGCGGAGUGGGUACACCUCUUCCCAUCCCGAACAGAGCCGUUAAGCACUCCAGCGCCGAUGGUACCCCGCACCUUUUGCGGAACGUCACCGUUCUUCGCAAGGUGCGGGGGAGAGUAGGUCGGUGCCAGCU